CAAACUUGAAAAUGAUCUUUCUGAUUCUCGAAAAAUGAGGGGCAAUAGGAUUGAUAGAGAAAGAUCUCUCAUUCUUUUUAUAGGAUCGUGAUUGGAUCCGCAUAUGUUUGGUAAAGAGAAUAAUCUUCUCAUUUGAAAAUAAUAAAAAAUGGAAAGUGUUCAAUUGGAACAUGAAAACGUGACUAAAAGGUCCUAGUUACUCUUCGGGACAGAGUGGAAGAAGGGAAGGGAUCCUUGAACGCGGAAAAUGAUCGAAUGAAUUCGAAAGAAUUGAACGAGGAGCCGUAUGAGGUGAAAAUCUCAUUUACGGUUCUGUAGAGUGGCAGUAAGGGUGACUUAUCUGUCAACAUUUCCACUAUCACCCCCAAAAAACAAAACUCUGCCUUACGCAAAGUUGUCAGAGUACAAUUGACAUGUGGAUUUGAAAUCAUUGCUUAUAUACCCUGUAUUGGCCAUAAUUUACAAGAACAUUCUUCACUCUUAGUAAGAGGGGGA
RNAcentral lists this long non-coding RNA (495 nucleotides) under Olea europaea subsp. europaea. Lineage: Eukaryota; Viridiplantae; Streptophyta; Magnoliopsida; Lamiales; Oleaceae. The record is from RNAcentral.